GAUCAAUAGCUGGUCUGAGAGGACGAUCAGCCACACUGGAACUGAGAUACGGUCCAGACUCCUACGGGAGGCAGCAGUCAGGAAUAUUGGGCAAUGGGCGAAAGCCUGACCCAGCAACGCCGCGUGAAGGAUGAAGGCCUUCGGGUCGUAAACUUCUGUCGAGAGGGAAGAAUGCGUGCGGGUAAAUAAUCCGCGCGUUUGACGGUACCUCAAAAGGAAGCACCGGCUAACUCCGUGCCAGCAGCCGCGGUAAUACGGAGGGUGCAAGCGUUGUUCGGAUUCAUUGGGCGUAAAGCGAGUGUAGGCGGUUUGACAAGUCGGAUGUGAAAUCCCGGGGCCCAGCCCCGGAACUGCAUCCGAUACUGUCUGGCUAGAGUCCCGGAGAGGGUGGCGGAAUUCCCGGUGUAGGGGUGAAAUCCGUAGAUAUCGGGAGGAACACCAGUGGCGAAGGCGGCCACCUGGACGGUGACUGACGCUGAGACUCGAAAGCGUGGGUAGCAAACAGGAUUAGAUACCCUGGUAGUCCACGCUGUAAACGGUGAGUGCUCGUCGUCGUGGGUAUUGACCCCUGCGGUGACCAAGUUAACACAUGAAGCACUCCGCCUGGGAAGUACGGUCGCAAGACUAAAACUCAAAGAAAUUGACGGGGGCCCGCACAAGCGGUGGAGCAUGUUGUUUAAUUCGAAGCAACGCGCAGAACCUUACCUGGAUUUGACAUCUCUGGAAUCCUCCUGAAAGGGAGGAGUGCCUUCGGGAGCCAGAAGACAGGUGCUGCAUGGCUGUCGUCAGCUCGUGUCGUGAGGUGUUGGGUUAAGUCCCGCAACGAGCGCAACCCCUAUCGUUAGUUGCUAGCAGUUCGGCUGAGCACUCUAGCGAGACUGCCGGUGUUAAACCGGAGGAAGGUGGGGACGACGUCAAGUCCUCAUGGCCUUUAUAUCCAGGGCUACUAACGUGCUACAAUGGUCGGUACUGAGGGCUGCGAACCCGCGAGGGCAAGCCAAUCCCACAAAGCCGGCCUCAGUUCGGAUUGAAGUCUGCAUUUCGACUUCAUGAAGGCGGAAUCGCUAGUAAUCGCGGAUCAGCAUGCCGCGGUGAAUACGUUCCCGGGCCUUGUACACACCGCCCGUCACGCCACGAAAGCUGGUUGAACCAGAAGUCGAUGACCCAACCGCAAGGAGGGAAUCGCCCAAGGUAUGACUGGUGAUUGGGGUGAAGUCGUAACAAGGUA
Molecule: ribosomal RNA, 1228 nt
Filed under: metagenome
Description: bacterial SSU rRNA
Rfam family: Bacterial small subunit ribosomal RNA
Source: RNAcentral